GAUGAACGCUGGCGGCGUGCCUAAUACAUGCAAGUCGAGCGAACAGAUGAGGAGCUUGCUCCUCUGACGUUAGCGGCGGACGGGUGAGUAACACGUGGAUAACCUACCUAUAAGACUGGGAUAACUUCGGGAAACCGGAGCUAAUACCGGAUAAUAUAUUGAACCGCAUGGUUCAAUAGUGAAAGACGGUUUUGCUGUCACUUAUAGAUGGAUCCGCGCCGCAUUAGCUAGUUGGUAAGGUAACGGCUUACCAAGGCAACGAUGCGUAGCCGACCUGAGAGGGUGAUCGGCCACACUGGAACUGAGACACGGUCCAGACGCCUACGGGAGGCAGCAGUAGGGAAUCUGCCGCAAUGGGCGAAAGCCUGACGGAGCAACGCCGCGUGAGUGAUGAAGGUCUUCGGAUCGUAAAACUCUGUUAUUAGGGAAGAACAAAUGUGUAAGUAACUAUGCACGUCUUGACGGUACCUAAGCAGAAAGCCACGGCUAACUACGU
This 496-nucleotide ribosomal RNA is filed under the name uncultured bacterium. RNAcentral's name for it is "partial 16S ribosomal RNA". It matches the Rfam family "Bacterial small subunit ribosomal RNA", at positions 28 to 506 of the family's 1533-position model. The record is from RNAcentral.